Monodelphis domestica (gray short-tailed opossum) is the source of this 2243-nucleotide long non-coding RNA. RefSeq lists it as uncharacterized. Lineage: Eukaryota; Metazoa; Chordata; Mammalia; Didelphimorphia; Didelphidae. The record is from RefSeq and is a predicted model, not a curated record.
ACAGAGGUUAAAUGAUUUAUCCAGGAUCACUCAGCUAGUAUGCACAUGAGGCUGGAUGAAAUCACAUCUUCCUGAUUCCAGGAAAGGCACUCUCUCCAUUGCAUCACCUGCCAAUAGACUUCGGAGGGCAAUUGGCCCAUCCCAUUAAAUUUCUAGGAAUAUAGGGAAACUGAGAUGUAGUGAAGAAUGAAUACCUCAUCUGCUGCCCCUAGGAGAUUAUGUACUACCAUGAUAGUGAGACUGUGAGACAACUACUGACUGCAGGAAGAUCAAUCAAAAGUUGCAAUCCAUUCAGGAACAACAGAAAGACUGCAGUGCCUUAUGUUACAUGAAGCCCUUGGCUGGAGGAACUAAAUGAUUUUUACAAACAUUGCUUCAAGAACAAAAAGGAUGCCAACAAAGAAAUGUGUGCCCAGGGAAGGAAGAUAGGCUGGCCAUGUGGUUGUUGUGAUGGAUUACCAACAGACAGCUGCCUAAAUGCUACAUCACUACCUUGUCAUGUCAGGAGAAGUUGAGGAAAAUCCCCAGUCUGGUGUGCAGGACCUGGCAUGACAAAGUUUUGAAAGGACAUGGACAAGAGUCAGAAUGGACAGGCAUGGAUGAGCUGUUAACGAUUUUAAAUUAAAAUAAGCAGUAAACUGAAAGAAAGCUAUGGACUACAGAAAUCAUGGGUCAAAGACAAGGUAUCUGUCACCAGUCCCUCAUGUAAAUGAAAAUGGGCAGAAUGACUUCAGCUCAAUUUGAACUUGACAUAUGGUGGACCCUAAACAUUGGAUGAUGACUGGAAGGCAAACAAGAAUGAGAAAAAAAUAAGACAAGGGUAAAUCCACAAGCAAACAAGUAUGAAUAAGAUUAUUAUGGGAUACAAAGGAAGAGACACUGUCAUAAAAGGAAUUUGCAAUAGAUGAGGCUGAAUAAAGGGAGGUACUGGAGUGACUAAUAUCCAUAAUUUGUUUAUGUAAUGUUUUUAGAUUAACAGAAAAUUCUGAAAGGUUCCAAAUUCCAAAAAUGUGUUGUUAUAUCUUCUCUCAAGGAACAUCUGAUUGAUUAUAAGGAAGGGGAGAAACACAAAUUAUUCACUUACAAUCAGCAUGGCAUUUUGAUUUAAAUCUCACUUUUAUAUUUUGUAACUGAUUUCCAAUAUAAAGAAUGGCCUCUUCUAGGACAUUUAUGUGGGCUUCUAACCCUUUGUCUAUGUGUUCUUCAGUUAAAAGGGCAAGAGAGAGAUUUUUUGAAAGGUUGUCUACACAUUUCAUAGUGUGUACUGUUUGAACAAGAGCUGUGGUUGAUGCAGCCAAUGACUGACAUAAGAGCAGUGAUACCCAGAAUAAGAGAUGCAAUAAAGUGCUUGGUGCUACUUAAAUUAUUGGACAUUAAUUGUAAGGCAUAAAUGCCUGAAUCAUCAUACCAGUCAGUAGUCAUAUUAACAGGAAGCAUGAUAAAAGGUGGUUGCUUAACAACAAAUACAGUGGUAGCAGAGAUGGAGGGGUUAAUACAAUUUGUCAAAUACAUCCUGAGCAAGAGAUUUUAAAAGUUGUAGGGGAAUUACGUUGUAAAGAUGAGGAGCUGUUGUUUGUUUGAAUAAGCAAUGCAUAAGGGGACCUGAUACAGGCAUUAAUGGAUCUAAGAUCUUUCUUGUCACUGGGACACAAUAAAACAGCAGGGCAGAGGGAAGCAAUUAGUCUCCAUAAAGAGUAGUGAGUAAUAGGAGAUGAGGGGUUUUCAAAAAAGACCAAAAGGACUGAAAGCCAUUCGGGACCAUACCAGCGAGCAAUUGGUUCCUCAGUGGGAAAAACUUGAUUAAUUUUUGUCCAAUUAAGAUUGGAGGAACCAGCUAUGGAAUCUUGAAACCCUCUAAAAUCAAAAUUGGGGCUAAAAUGGGCCAGUCCUAGAUGUACAAUGAAUCAUUAACAAUAGGGUAUUGGACACCCUUGUGGGGGAAUCCACAUUCUCUCCAUGGGGGGAUUCCAUAUCUUUCAUCAAUUUGAUACCAAGGUUUGUCUGAGAUAUGUUUGUACUCAGAAAUAUUCUCAGGGGAUGUACAGGAGUCAUUUGAACAAAGAAUAUAUUUAAAGAAGAGACAGGAGAUAAAAUAUGAAGCAACCAUAUAUGUCUUGUGUUAUCUUUACCAGGACAGUCAGUGAGAUAUCUCCACAUCUUUAGAAUAUUUUUCCAUGGUUACAUGAUUUAUGAUUCUCUCCCCACCCCAGCUCUUACAAAUAUUUCUUAACUCCAUCUAUUAU